AUGAGUUGUUUCCACCUCACAAAGAAAACGUGCCGGAAUCUGAAUUCUAUCUCUUCGAAAUUCUGGUGGGGGGCAAAAGACGGUGAGCGAAAGGUACAUUGGAUUUCUUGGCAGAAGAUGUGUACUUCCAAGCGGGAUGGCGGGAUGGGUUUCCGUGAUCCGGUAGCAUUCAACCAGGCUCUACUUGCAAAACAAGCCUGGUGUGUUCUGCAAUGUCCGGAGUCUUUGGUUGUGAGGGUGCUGAAGGCACGCUACUUCAAAGAUGAAUCCAUUAUGAGCGCGACGUGCCCUGCGGCGGCUUCAUAUACUUACAGGAGCAUUUUACACGGCAGAGAUCUCCUUCGAGAAGGACUAGUUUGGAGAAUUGGAGACGGCUCCAAUGUUAAUAUACAUCACAACAACUGGAUUCCAAGGAGCGUUUCUAUGAAGCCACUUGGCCAGAUAUACAUGCCGGGCGUGACAAAGGUUGCUGAUCUCCUAGCAGCGGACGGUAAAACAUGGAACCGUGAUCGGGUCUGGGAGAUGUUCACCUCGGAUGAUGCAAGAGACAUACUACAGAUAGUGGUGGGCGGAGUGGGAGUUGAUGAUUAUCAAGCGUGGAACCACACGAAAAAUGGAGUCUUUACUGUACGCUCCGCCUAUCAUCUGAAAAUGGCUAUGAUUAGAGCGACCUUCGGACGGCCGGAGUCGUCUAGCUCGGUGAAUAAACACAAGGGAUAUAUGGCACUUUGGGCCACGAAUGCACCGGGGAAGGCCAAAAUUCAUCGUUGGAGAGUGGUUUCAAACGGAUUGGCGGUUGGAUCAGAGCUCCAUCGGAGAAAGAUUAAGCUUGGGGUCUUUUGCGCUGCUGUGGUUGUGAAGAAACUAUAG
This 870-nucleotide ribosomal RNA is filed under the name Triticum aestivum (bread wheat). RNAcentral's name for it is "partial small subunit ribosomal RNA". Lineage: Eukaryota; Viridiplantae; Streptophyta; Magnoliopsida; Poales; Poaceae. The record is from RNAcentral.